This is a long non-coding RNA of Oncorhynchus kisutch (coho salmon), 2702 nucleotides long. RefSeq lists it as uncharacterized. The record is from RefSeq and is a predicted model, not a curated record. The transcript is spliced from 2 exons. Lineage: Eukaryota; Metazoa; Chordata; Actinopteri; Salmoniformes; Salmonidae.
AAGUUUCUCCUUCAGUAUCGGUUUUGUGUUGCAUAGCACGACUGACAUCUAGAGGACAAAAUAUAACAUAUCCUUUCUAGACUGAAGACAUGCAUCUUCCAACAGAUGGCGCUACAGGAAAGAAAAAUACAUCAUAUUCUAAUCAUGCCACAAACCUGAGAUGAUGAUGAAACGGCUGGAGCAGCUCUUCUCUGUAAUGUUAAUUAAUCAACUUCCAGUUGUAUCUCUCUCCGUCAGGUUGUUUUUCUGUGCUGCUACAGGUGAUAUAUGUUACAGUACAUGUUCCACCAAAAACAAUGAGAUAGAGAAUGAUGAUAAACCCUUGAAUUAUGAAUGCAUAGCUGCAGCAGCCUGAUUUAGAGCAUGUUUCAGUUGAAUAGUGAUAAUGUUAAAACUGUUUUUCAAUGGUAUGGUGAUUUUUCAGACAUUUAGGUGAUUGGAUACCUUCGAAACAUCACUGUAAGACACAUCUAUGAGGUUCUAUCACAGAUGAUGUCCACCUGACCUAUGGUCACCUCUAACUCGCCACAGAGACCAGAGCAGCUCCAGAGAGAUCUCUUCUGCUUUGUCAGUCACAUCAGGAAGGAAAACACAGUUUGAAAUGAUUCUCCUCCUAAGUCAAUAAGAUCUGGAUACUACUCCUAGGUGUGGCCUACACGUAAAACAGGAAGGCGAUUCCAAUGCCCAGAGUCGCAAAACCAGGACGAACAGUCACACCCGACUCGAAUCAUAGAGGUCAAAUGUAUUUAAUUUCCCCAAUAUAAGAAAUGAAUAAAAGCUCUAAUACAAAACAUGGAUAUACGUCGAUGACUGUGAUUAUAGGAAACAAGAAUCUUUUGUCACACAGGACAGUUGUGCACAACAGUGGGACUUAUAGGGGAAACUAUACAUUGGAAGUGUACGUGUACAGCGUUACACAUUAUUUCACAUUUAUGUUGAACAUGGACUUAUUGUGCUACCAAAAGGAAGUAAACAACAAAGACAAAACAGCAUGUAAGACCAGAGUUGAACCGCAUUGCAGUUUUACCUCAACAGGUGUUGGACUAGGUCUUCCAACACAGUUACAGUGCAUUUCGAACUGACUUGUAAAGGCAGGUAAAGUUGCAUUUCUGGAUGACUCUGAGUGUGUCACGAUGCACACAAUCUAAUACGUUGUACUAUAUUCACUGCAUUGCACUUUUAAGAUUUCAGUUUAUGAAACACAAGAACAUCAUUAUUAUUGUAUAGCAUCGCUAGAUUUCCCGCAGCUACAUAACAAUAAGCAAUAAUGCUCAUUGUCAAAUUAUUAACACAUCAUUUUCAGCCCAAACGUGGCUUUGUUUAUAGGGCUUGACAUGACCAUUCUGACCACAAAUAGAAUAUGUAUGUAUUAACAAGUGAUGAGAACGGCCUUUUGGUUUUUAAAAGCCAUUUAACAGACUCUCUUCAAAGUCAAAUCCAUUCGAUGAUGAUUGGCACAAGAAUGUAACGCAAGAAAAAUAACCUGUUGAUCUUUAAUCUUUAGACGUUUCUGUCUAGUGCCAAGAAAUCUGUGUUGUCGUACAUCUACAUUCUGGUGAAUCUCACAACAACUAUUUAAUAGUAGUCCUUCUACAGUUAUACACAUUAUUGGUAAAGCUAUUCUAAAUACAUACUCAUCUCUUUAUAACUUUUAUCCACAAUGCCAGCAAUGCAAUCAUGCGACUAAUUCAUUUCUAAAAUAUUCUUUAAGGGUUCAUCAGUGAGGAUUUCACUUCACAAUAAAGGAUUUGGUAAGAUAAAUGAGGGAGACAAUGAGAAAGAGAGGGGGGCUGGAACAGAGAUAACAAGUUCUGGGCCAAAUGCAACGGUGACAGGGGGUCAUUGACUCCACAAAUACGUUUUUAUACACAAAAUAUGGACAUUUUCUGCUGAGUACUUUUUUCUGGGGUUUCAAUGAUGAACAUAGCCUUAUCUGAAUAACUUAACAAAGUAACACAAGCCUUGAAAAAGAACAAGCCAUUUGGAAAAGGAAAGCUCUUGGUUUGUUAAUCAGUGUUUCAAGUUACUAUGGCUACAAUGUUAAGCAGUCUAACAGUCUUAGACUUCGUGCUUGGCAGGCACAGUCAUUUUUAUACCAUUUAUACAUAGAUGACAGACAUGUAAGAACAGUUCAACUGGAGACAGUUUAUCUGUACAAUGAAUACUCACAACCAAAAACAAAACACUGAAUAAUAAUUUGGAAUCAUUAAAAAGAUUCCAUCAUAUCGAAAAAUACAAUGUGUCUAGACUGAAUAAUAACUUGUAAAAAUGAAUUGUUUAUUUUAUCAUAAUAUCAAAGAUGACAGUACUAAAGUAUAGUAAACCCCUAAUCACAGUAAACUGUGUGCUCAUAUUAUUUGUCCUUCCCACCAGUUGUCAAAUACCAUUGUAUCUCUGCUACAAGGUAUAUUGUACUUUGAUGUUAGCUGGCGAAUGGGUCAAGCGCAUAGUAAUUUCGCUCGUGAACACCUAAAAAAGCUCUCCAAAAAAAGAGGAGUAGCGAGAGAAAGAGAAGAGGAAUGUGUGGCGGUACACGUUUAGAGACUGAAACAGAACAGUUUGGAUCUAAAUAGGCCUCAGCCCCCAGAGGGGAAACCUAAUUAUAGAGAAUAGACAGUAUUUCCAGCUCAUAUGAACGUGUUUAUAUCCAGAAACCAUAUAAAACCAUAUACCACAAGAAUAAUUUAUUUCAAAUAAUAGUG